GACGAACGCUGGCGGCGUGCUUAACACAUGCAAGUCGAACGGAAAGGCCCUGCUUUUGUGGGGUGCCCGAGUGGCGAACGGGUGAGUAACACGUGAGUAACCUGCCCUUGACUUUGGGAUAACUUCAGGAAACCGGGGCUAAUACCGGAUAGGAGCUCCUGCUGCAUGGUGGGGGUUGGAAAGUUUCGGCGGAGGGGGAUGGACUCGCGGCUUAUCAGCUUGUUGGUGGGGUAGUGGCCUACCAAGGCUUUGACGGGUAGCCGGCCUGAGAGGGUGGACGGCCACAUUGGGACUGAGGUACGGCCCAGACUCCUACGGGAGGCAGCAGGGGAGAAUAUUGCACAAUGAGCGGAAGCCUGAUGCAACAGCGCCGCGUGCGGGAUGACGGCCUUCGGGUUGUGAACCGCUUUCGGCUGUGACGAAGCGUGAGUGACGGUAAUGGGUGAAGAAGCACCGGCUAACUACGUG
Molecule: ribosomal RNA, 468 nt
Filed under: uncultured bacterium
Lineage: Bacteria
Description: partial 16S ribosomal RNA
Rfam family: Bacterial small subunit ribosomal RNA
Source: RNAcentral